Non-coding RNA from Phyllosticta citribraziliensis, 82 nucleotides. The record is from the annotation of a GenBank genome assembly. NCBI's taxonomy places the organism in Eukaryota, Fungi, Ascomycota, Dothideomycetes, Botryosphaeriales, Phyllostictaceae.
GUGUUGGUGGUGUAGUGGUAACGCAUGCUGUGGCAACAGUCGCAUCCACGGCAAGUCCUAGGUUCGAUUCCUAGCCAACAUA